RNAcentral lists this ribosomal RNA (1329 nucleotides) under uncultured prokaryote. Its description in RNAcentral is "partial 16S ribosomal RNA". It matches the Rfam family "Bacterial small subunit ribosomal RNA", at positions 98 to 1428 of the family's 1533-position model. The record is from RNAcentral.
GCGCACGGGUGAGUAACGCGUAUGCAACCUACCUGUAACAGGGAGAUAGCCCAGGGAAACUUGGAUUAAUACACCGUAGUAUUUAAGUGGCAUCACUUUGUUUUUAAAGCUUUCGAGCGGUUACAGAUGGGCAUGCGUGCCAUUAGUUAGUUGGUAAGGUAACGGCUUACCAAGACAUUGAUGGCUAGGGGGUCUAAAAGGAUGGUCCCCCACACUGGUACUGAGACACGGACCAGACUCCUACGGGAGGCAGCAGUGAGGAAUAUUGGGCAAUGGGUGCAAGCCUGACCCAGCCAUGCCGCGUGCAGGAUGACUGCCCUACGGGUUGUAAACUGCUUUUCUGCGUGAAGAAAAAGAGUUACGAGUAACUCAUUGACGGUAGCGUAGGAAUAAGCAUCGGCUAACUCCGUGCCAGCAGCCGCGGUAAUACGGAGGAUGCAAGCGUUAUCCGGAUUUAUUAGGUUUAAAGGGUGCGUAGGCGGGACUUUAAGUCAGUGGUGAAAUCCUGCGGCUUAACCGCAGAACUGCCAUUGAAACUAUUGUUCUUGAGUUCAGUUGAGGCAGGCGGAAUGUGUAAUGUAGCGGUGAAAUGCAUAGAUAUUACACAGAACACCGAUUGCGAAGGCAGCUUGCUAAACUGACACUGACGCUGAUUCACGAAAGCGUGGGGAGCGAACAGGAUUAGAUACCCUGGUAGUCCACGCCGUAAACGAUGCUCACUGGUUGUUGGCGCUACAUUGUCAGCGACUGAGGGAAACCAUUAAGUGAGCCACCUGGGGAGUACGUCGGCAACGAUGAAACUCAAAGGAAUUGACGGGGGCCCGCACAAGCGGUGGAACAUGUGGUUUAAUUCGAUGAUACGCGAGGAACCUUACCUGGGCUUAAAUGCAGAGUGCAUGAGUAUGAAAAUAUUCUUUCCUUCGGGACUCUUAUUACAAGGUGCUGCAUGGCUGUCGUCAGCUCGUGCCGUGAGGUGUCGGGUUAAGUCCCAUAACGAGCGCAACCCUUGUCAUUAGUUACCAUCACGUAAAGGUGGGGACUCUAAUGAGACUGCCGGUGUAAACCGUGAGGAAGGUGGGGAUGACGUCAAGUCAGCGCGGCCCUUACGUCCAGGGCUACACACGUGUUACAAUGGCCGGUACAAAGGGCAGCUACUAUGCGAAUAGGUGCUAAUCUCGAAAGCCGGUCUCAGUUCGGAUCGUAGUCUGCAACUCGACUACGUGAAGUUGGAUUCGCUAGUAAUCGCGCAUCAGCAACGGCGCGGUGAUACGUUCCCGGGCCUUGUACACACCGCCCGUCAAGCCAUGGAAGCCGGGGGUACCUGAAGUC